Molecule: long non-coding RNA, 574 nt
Organism: Dermacentor albipictus
Lineage: Eukaryota; Metazoa; Arthropoda; Arachnida; Ixodida; Ixodidae
Source: RefSeq, a predicted model, not a curated record
AGCGCGAAAACCGUCUUCUAUCUCAGUAUUCUCGUGACGGCGCCGCGUCUCCUUUUAAGAACUGUGCUCUUUCUGCGGGCCGCCCACAGAAUAUAAGCUGGCCGGCCGACACCGGAGCGGCAAAUAUGUUUCCGGGUAUAUUGCUUGGAGGGAGAGCGGCGUGCUGAGCAUGGGAACCGGUAUAUAGGCGCGGGCCAGCUCAACCGUCAUCGCCUUUGAAGACGCCACCUGAUUCGCUCUCGCACCGCUCACUGCGCCCUCUCGGAUAACACACGUCGGCCGCACUCCUGAGGCGGGAACAUGAAGACUGUGCUGUCCCUCAUCACUUUCUGCUUUUCGGCUGCUGUCCUGCUGGCUGGCUACGGUUACGGAUACGGAUUAGGGGCAUAUAAUGGCUAUGGAGCAUACGGCGGCUACGGAGGUUACGGCGUAAAUGGCCUCUACGGCGCAUACGGCUUGGCGGGGGGCCUUGGCGGCUACGGGCCUGGCGGCUACGGGCUUGGCGGCUUAGGAGCACUCGACUACUACUGACGGAUCUUCUGCGCUGCAUUAAAGGGACUGGCAAUGUGCUGAA